Molecule: ribosomal RNA, 484 nt
Filed under: uncultured bacterium
Lineage: Bacteria
Description: partial 16S ribosomal RNA
Rfam family: Bacterial small subunit ribosomal RNA
Source: RNAcentral
AUUGAACGCUGGCGGAAUGCCUUACACAUGCAAGUCGAACGGCAGCACGGGGGCAACCCUGGUGGCGAGUGGCGAACGGGUGAGUAAUACAUCGGAACGUGCCCGGUCGUGGGGGAUAACGUAGCGAAAGUUACGCUAAUACCGCAUACGAUCUGAGGAUGAAAGCGGGGGACCUUCGGGCCUCGCGCGAUCGGAGCGGCCGAUGUCAGAUUAGGUAGUUGGUGGGGUAAAGGCCUACCAAGCCGACGAUCUGUAGCUGGUCUGAGAGGACGACCAGCCACACUGGGACUGAGACACGGCCCAGACUCCUACGGGAGGCAGCAGUGGGGAAUUUUGGACAAUGGGCGCAAGCCUGAUCCAGCCAUUCCGCGUGCAGGACGAAGGCCUUCGGGUUGUAAACUGCUUUUGUAUGGAACGAAAAGGCUCUGGCUAAUACCUGGGGCUCAUGACGGUACCGUAAGAAUAAGCACCGGCUAACUACGUG